UCAUCCAGGGGGGAGAAGAUACCCCACUAUCAUUAGUCCUAUCAUUCAAUGUAACCCAAUUAAAUCAUCCGCAGGGGUAUUCCGACAUUAGCUUAAAACCCAAAGGACUUGGCGGUGUCUCAGACCCACCUAGAGAGCCUGUUCUAGAACCGAUUAAUCCCCGUUAACCUCAUCACUUCUUAGUCUUUCCACCUAUAAUCCCCCGUUGUCAACUUUCCCUGGGGAGGGUCAAUAGUGAAAAAAAAGGGGCCGCCCAAAAACGCCUCGGGUCGGGGUAUAGUGCGUAGAGUAAAAAAAAGGGGUCCAUUUUUUCACCCAAAUUUUUCGAACCGCGCCCCGAAACAUGGUGCCUUGAAGGAGGAUUUAGCUAC
Molecule: ribosomal RNA, 371 nt
Filed under: Sperata seenghala (giant river-catfish)
Lineage: Eukaryota; Metazoa; Chordata; Actinopteri; Siluriformes; Bagridae
Description: partial 12S ribosomal RNA
Source: RNAcentral